GUGUACCUACGGGGCGCAGCAGUAGGGAAUUUUCGUCAAUGGGCGCAAGCCUGAACGAGCGAUGCCGCGUGAGUGAAGAGGGCCUUCGGGACGUAAAGCUCUGUUGCGGGGGAAAGAAGGCAGCAUCAGGAAAUGGGUGCUGACUGAUGGUGCCCCGCCAGAAAGUCACGGCUAACUACGUGCCAGCAGCCGCGGUAAUACGUAGGUGGCGAGCGUUAUCCGGAAUGAUUGGGCGUAAAGGGUGCGCAGGCGGUCCUGCAAGUCUGGAGUGAAACGCAU
This 279-nucleotide ribosomal RNA is filed under the name uncultured bacterium. RNAcentral's name for it is "partial 16S ribosomal RNA". It matches the Rfam family "Bacterial small subunit ribosomal RNA", at positions 333 to 604 of the family's 1533-position model. The record is from RNAcentral.